AGUGAUAGGGCUGCCAUUCUGGUCCCGCCACUGCUUCUUCCUCUGAAAGCAAUUUAGAGGAGAGCCAAGAAGAACAGAGCCUACCCCUUUAAUUAGCCUGCGGAGCCAGGCAAGGAUAAAAUCCUGACUCCUGUAGUUCGUGUGUAGGGUGACUAUAUGACUGAUAUUCAAACUGGGAUGGCUGUGAAUACGAAUGUAAGGAAAACAGAUGCAAGGGGGACUGCCACGGGAAAACCAAGAUGUAUCCACGAGACCCUGCUAGAUCUGGCUGCAGCCCCAACCCUCCCUGUCCCCAUCUGCCCACCUUGCUCCAGAUUAGACAUUUCUGGACCUGGCAACGGAACCUCUUUUAGGGCUGAAACUAAAGACAACAAUGAUUCUGACCCAGGAGCCUGGGCUCUAAACUCCUUGGGAAGUGAGCCCACUUUCCACACGGACAAACGAACGGCAGCUCAUGAACAAAGAGGCACAGGAAGAGGGAAGGGGGUCAGGGAAGGUGACAUUUCCUGAGUGCCCACACAAGGCCUGGAUCGCCACAUGCUUCAAUUCAUUUAUGAACAGCCACUAGAGGAACACGGUGACACUGAGGUGGAGAGAAAGAAACGAGCGUUUUGGCAGUGGAUGGGGUCUGGGGGUGAGUAGGCAAUGGAUAUAUUUGUAUGUAUGUAUGGUGUGCUUAUUGUUUAACAUUAAAUACAGAUUUAUCAAGCACUCUUCUACAUGCUACGUGCCCAAAGAGGUGUAAGCCACAGUCUGAGCUCUCAAGGAGGCAAAUGGUAUAAAGAAACAUACCCUAAGUUAAAUAACAAGCUGAAUGAACAUGGUAUAACAUUAUAGAUUUUAGAGUUGCCUGGAUCCAGAGGGAACAUUUGAUCCAGAGUUUCCAGAAAUGUUGUCCUCAUCUCACUGAUAGGAUGCAAGAUGAUUUGGGUAUUAUACAAACGUUUAAAACUUUCAUUAGGCAUUCAUGUUAACAUGCAUUAGAAAAAUCGACAGCGUAUCACGCCCUCUGUGGUGGCACAUGCCUGUAGUCCCAACUACUCGAGAG
Molecule: long non-coding RNA, 1048 nt
Filed under: Cercocebus atys (sooty mangabey)
Lineage: Eukaryota; Metazoa; Chordata; Mammalia; Primates; Cercopithecidae
Description: lncRNA (ENSCATG00000045393.1)
Source: RNAcentral